GGCGACUCACCUUCGUCCAGCAGCCGCUCGAGGUGGUUGAAGAUCCCGCAGAAGUUGGGCAGGCUGCUCAUGAGCUUCUUGUCGUUCAUCAGCUGCAUCAGUUGUGGGCUGACCCAGGGUUGCAAACGUGAGGUCCCAGCAACUGUUGGCGGCAUUGUGCCAGGUCAAGGGUGUCCUCAAGCACCUGGCAUGGGCGGCUGCAGCCAGCAGCACAGAGUCAAAAGGCGGCCUCAGAUCUUCAUGCUAAUGAAACCUCACAGUUUGUUCUAUCUGGGCCUCAUCUGCACAGCAACCAGAAGCUUCCAUGGCCCAGCAGUUUCAACCAAAUAGUUCAGGAGCCAGUAUUCACCCGUUGCAAUGUGAACGAGGGAAUCCAGGCCCUGCUCAGCAAGGACACCGUGGCUCUGCAAUGAUCUGUAGGAUUUGUGCUGCAGAAUAAUUCUUGCUGGAUUCAAGAAAUAACAGGCUGGUUCUUGUCACCAUCUUCAUAGGAUACAGAAAGGGGUGAGAAAUCCUGCCUCAGACCCCACACCGCUGUUCUAGCUGAAGUCUCCAACUUCUCUUUAAACAUCAGGAAGCCUUUCGUACACACUUUUGUGACAAACUGAAAAUUAGUUGUUGAUUGUUAAUAUUUAUUCUCUGUUUUCACAUUAGAUUAAAAUACAGAACAUACUCUUUCAUCCCACCCCCCAAAAUACCUGGUUACUUGAUUCUCAGUUAUUUGAAGUCCAGAUAAUAACUGACUCUAGUCUAUUUAUGUAACUAUUGUUAUCAUCUAAGUAUUAAAUAUUCUUAGCUUACAGAGUGUCUUUAAAUCUGUUUCAUCAGUUAAAAAGCAAGAUAAACAUGCACACAGAAAUCUUUGACAGUCUUUCAUCUGAUACACUGACAGAGAAUUGUAUUAGCUCAGCAUUAUUUCACAGUCAUUUAUUACUUACUUGCUUGAAUUGCAUAGGCACUUGGCUAGAUCAAAGUUUAAAGGAACUAUAUCUAGGUUUUAAAGAAAAAUUUAGUGAAAUGUUCACAAAAUUGUUCCAAAUUCCCCCAGAAAAAGAAGUUCGUUGCUUGGAAGGUAUUUCAGAAGGAUAUUGUGUGUACAACUUGGGAAAUCAGUGUGAGUAUUCAGUAAAUGUUUUUAAAUGAAUGUUGCAUGGCUCUGAUCAAAAAAUUAAACACACAUAAAUUUUGUCAUCAAUUUAUGUGUAUUAAAUGAAUACACAUAAAUAAAACUCUUACCCCUAUUGGUGGUAUGUAUAUUGCUCCAGCCCAACUUGCAUCCCACACUUCAAGCUGCUGGAUGCUCUGUGAGUGGGAUCAUAUCACUGUAAGUCUGCCUCAUGUAUGGGAACCACCCGUCACUCAUCACCAGGUCUGGGCUAAGACCAGCAUCUUUCACUUGGACACGCGACAGGAAACAGUAGGGCUGGCUGAAUAUAUACACCACACUAGAAGGCCAUGACCUGCAUGGAGAAAGUUGAGGGUCUUCAAAAAAGAUUUCUUUUGACUGAGAAUACAUUCCUCACCAGUAUACUUUACUUCUUAAAAUUCCUACUAGUCAUACGUCUUCAAAAAACGUGUAUAGUAUGUUCAGGGAGGAUGCCAUCAGUUGUUAAAUUCUGACUGAAAUUAUUAUAGUGGAUUCCCGUUAGCAGAGGGGAAAAAAAAAAUCUGUGUUUUGAAACACAGAAUACACUAAGGGAGGAAAAGUUCAGUCCCUUGCAACAGUGUCCUAUAGAGGAACAGACAAGAAUGUACUAGAAUGUGCUAGAACAUGGUUCCCUGGGAACCUGAUACAUAUUUGCAGUGGCAGAGACUAGCACAUAAAGGAUACGUUAGCAGGGUUGACAAAGGUGAGGACGAACUUUGUACUGUAUAGAAGUUUGUCCCUGAAAUGAAAAGUAUUUUUUUACCUACAAAAUUUCAAAAUAUGCCUUAAUGAUAUAAUCCACUCCUAAAGCAAGGAAACAGACAUUCUCAUACUCUAAUAAAUUGAUAGAAGAUUUCUACAAGGCAAUUUGAUAAUAUAUAUCAAAAGAUUUAGAAGUUUGUGUGUCUUUGGGCUAUAAUUUCACUUCUAGAAACUUAUUUUGUAUAAAUAAUCAUAGAUGGGGAAAGAUAUAGCAAUAUUAUUUCUAAUG
Long non-coding RNA from Rhinolophus ferrumequinum (greater horseshoe bat), 2138 nucleotides. RefSeq lists it as uncharacterized. NCBI's taxonomy places the organism in Eukaryota, Metazoa, Chordata, Mammalia, Chiroptera, Rhinolophidae. The transcript is spliced from 5 exons. The record is from RefSeq and is a predicted model, not a curated record.